AGCAAUGUGGCUUAGUGGCAAAAGCCUGGGCUUGGGAAUCAGAGAUUGUGGGUUCUAAUCCCAGCUCCGCCA
This is a non-coding RNA of Ornithorhynchus anatinus (platypus), 72 nucleotides long. The record is from Rfam. Lineage: Eukaryota; Metazoa; Chordata; Mammalia; Monotremata; Ornithorhynchidae.